GAGGGUGAGUAAUUUAUGGGCUAAUUUUCAUUUUUGGAUGAACUAACCCUUUAAAGGAGCAAUUUGAAGUAGACAUAGUUAUUUUCUAACCAUAUAAAACAUGACACAUCAUGCAUUUCAGUUGAAUCUAUUACUUAAUUAACAUUCUCAAUCAGAACAUGGCUGUUACUUAUGAAGUUAAAUCAACAUCAAAUACAAAAGUAGCUGUACAUAAUGCAUGUAAGUACAUUAUAGUAUUAUAUAACAGUAGUACAUACAUUUUAGUUUAGUUUGCAUGAAUGGUCCCAGUUUAUAUUACGUGUCUUUUCUAAUUUAACCUACAAGCUACAAGAAUACUUUUUGUGCGCAAAAAAAUAUCAACUUUACUGUCAGUCUUCAACACGCGUUCAGGAGAGUACACUAGAUUUGGGUGAACUAUCUCUUUAAAGUGGGAUACAGGUAAGUUUUUGUGGUAGGGGUAGGGUUAGGUUUAGAAGUGGGUUAGGGGUUAUAGCAAUUAAUUACAAAUGUAAUUACAUGCAAUAAGUGCAUUUUAUCAAAUGAUUCAUUUCAGUGUGAAAAAACAGUAGUGAAAGGCACUUAAUAUGAAGUAGGUCCUGAUUAAUUAUAAUAAAGUUAGUUCUGGUUCUCAAAUCUGACUGGUCGAGAGGUGCUAAUAAAAAUGGAUAUAAAGAGGGACUUUUCACGGUUUGUAUCACUCCAUUUGAUGAUCCAGACUGUCUGUCUUUGCAUCAGUGGUGGUUAGGUGAAUCUUUCUGUCACACCAAUAGGUGACUUAAAGUGACUGUCUUUAUUAAACAUUCACUUGACCUGUUCAUUCAACAAUGCUGAUUCAUUUAGGAGUAAAACUUUACUGUCUUUAAAACUUUACAAUUUAUGCCGAGUUUAUUUUAGCACUGAUUUUCACUCGCUGACAGGUUUUGCAAAAUCGCCAAGUUAACAAAUGCCCAAAAUCGAAGGCAAAUCAGUGCUCGUUUACGCAAGUGACAAUCACGCAAUGUGAAUUAUCAAAGACAUGAUCUGAGAGAAUCGCUCAUGAAAUAUUUGCCAUGCUAAAUAACUGGACCUGUCAGCAAUUCAAAAUCCUGCUGUGUGAAAUAAGAAAAAUACAUCACCGUGACCUAAAGCCAAUGAGAGAGCAAGAUACAGGGUAGUGGGAAGUUCGGGAAGGAGUUAUAUGAAAUUUCACACCUUGCCUGCCCCUCAUGUUGUUCUCAGUCAAAAUUCACUGUUCA
This is a long non-coding RNA of Cyprinus carpio carpio, 1235 nucleotides long. The record is from Ensembl. NCBI's taxonomy places the organism in Eukaryota, Metazoa, Chordata, Actinopteri, Cypriniformes, Cyprinidae.